Molecule: transfer RNA, 69 nt
Filed under: Pseudocleopatra dartevellei
Lineage: Eukaryota; Metazoa; Mollusca; Gastropoda; Paludomidae
Description: tRNA-Leu
Rfam family: tRNA
About the family: Transfer RNA (tRNA) molecules are approximately 80 nucleotides in length. Their secondary structure includes four short double-helical elements and three loops (D, anti-codon, and T loops).
Source: RNAcentral
ACUGAGUGAGCAAAGAUAAUGCAGUUGACUUAGGAUCAACGAUCAAAGGUACAAAUCCUUUAUUUAGUA